GCUGCCCUGAGAACGCUGAGUGUAUUCUGGAAUAUUCCAAAUGUGUGCCACUUCCAUACUGAAGAAGUUCCAAGCCCGCAAGAGAGUUCACUCACCAGUGGGCUCCAUCAACUAUCCAGGGCAAUGUCAGUCCGUCUGGAUGGCACUACCUGCUACUUGAUGAUGUCUGAUAGCCAUGGCUGCUGCCUUCAACGUGGUAGCCCUCACAAGUAAACUGAUAUCAAGACUUAACAUAGAUGGUGAUGGUGGCAAGGGUGCCUUCAGAAGGUGCUAUCCAGCAGUCCCAGCCUGGAGCCAGAAGCUGCUAUUGCAAGUCAGAUGGGGGAGGAAAGGUGGUGUAAGCAAGAAGGCAAGAGCUGCUGCAGGCAAUGUUGCAAUUAGAUGCUGUCUUUAGCGAAACACCCUGACCCGAAUAAUGGACACCAUGGGAAGAUAUAUGAAGUAUGCACCGGAGAGGGUGGGUGGCGGUGGCCGUCGGAAGACACUCCCUGCUGUUGCUGAAUGAU
Molecule: long non-coding RNA, 506 nt
Organism: Alosa alosa (allis shad)
Lineage: Eukaryota; Metazoa; Chordata; Actinopteri; Clupeiformes; Clupeidae
Exons: 5
Source: RefSeq, a predicted model, not a curated record